This 450-nucleotide ribosomal RNA is filed under the name uncultured bacterium. RNAcentral's name for it is "partial 16S ribosomal RNA". It matches the Rfam family "Bacterial small subunit ribosomal RNA", at positions 354 to 796 of the family's 1533-position model. The record is from RNAcentral.
GUGGGGAAUAUUGGACAAUGGGGGGAACCCUGAUCCAGCCAUGCCGCGUGUGUGAAGAAGGCCUUUUGGUUGUAAAGCACUUUAAGCGAGGAGGAGGCUACCGAGAUUAAUACUCUUGGAUAGUGGACGUACUCGCAGAAUAAGCACCGGCUAACUCUGUGCCAGCAGCCGCGGUAAUACAGAGGGUGCAAGCGUUAAUCGGAUUUACUGGGCGUAAAGCGCGCGUAGGUGGCCAAUUAAGUCAAAUGUGAAAUCCCCGAGCUUAACUUGGGAAUUGCAUUCGAGACUGGUUGGCUAGAGUAUGGGAGAGGAUGGUAGAAUUCCAGGUGUAGCGGUGAAAUGCGUAGAGAUCUGGAGGAAUACCGAUGGCGAAGGCAGCCAUCUGGCCUAAUACUGACACUGAGGUGCGAAAGCAUGGGGAGCAAACAGGAUUAGAUACCCUGGUAGUCC